GGCUUCUAGUCAGUUGGUUAGGGCGUGGUGCUACUAACGCCAAGGUCAACAGUUCGAUCCUGAUGAGGGCCA
This 72-nucleotide transfer RNA is filed under the name Pleodorina starrii. RNAcentral's name for it is "tRNA-Ser". The record is from RNAcentral. Lineage: Eukaryota; Viridiplantae; Chlorophyta; Chlorophyceae; Chlamydomonadales; Volvocaceae.